Molecule: long non-coding RNA, 723 nt
Organism: Rosa rugosa (rugosa rose)
Lineage: Eukaryota; Viridiplantae; Streptophyta; Magnoliopsida; Rosales; Rosaceae
Exons: 2
Source: RefSeq, a predicted model, not a curated record
ACUACUGCCAAGUACCAACACAAAAUAAGCAUAACACGAGAAAAAAUUUAGACAGGCUAAGAUAGUUUGGGCAUUAGAUAAUUCUUCAAAAACUAAAUAAAAAUAGGUGAUGACGAAUCGCACGUGAAUUUUAGCUCAAUAAUUUUAGCUCCAGCCACCGAGCCACCUCCCCUUUGAGUCCUCCUGAGCCACCUCCUCCGACACCGAGCCACCUCCACUGUGAGUCUGCAUCUAUGAUCUCUGCGACUCCAAGAAGGCUUCAAUCCCUGAAUCUCAGGGUGAGAGGUCGUAAACUGAUUACCCAACAGUCAAAUACCCAAUACCCAUGCUGAGAGCUUCUGUCUGAUUGCUGGAAGUCAAGUGGUGCUCUGGUGCUGGUGCCAUCGUAAAUCAUCUUCAUCAUCUCAGAUACCAAUUUCUCUUCUUUUCGGUUUUAUGAGUUUUGGUUAUUCUGGAAAUUAGAUGUUGAUAAUGUAUGCGUUCUGCAACGAUUUUGAUUGCUUGGAAUUGGAUGUGUUGAGUUUGAAUGAUCUGCAAUUGGAUGUGUUGAGUUUGAAUUUGAUAUAAUCAUUAGAGCAGCCAUUUAAUUAUAUCUGUUAAAGCAGAAUUCCUACAUUUAAUUCUGUCCGUUUAGGGCAGCCAUGUAUCCUAAUAUGUAACAUAUGAAUGUAAAGCUACUUCUUAGCAAUAUGUAAUGCUAAUAUGGUUUGCUGGAAUGUAACA